Molecule: ribosomal RNA, 253 nt
Filed under: uncultured bacterium
Lineage: Bacteria
Description: partial 16S ribosomal RNA
Rfam family: Bacterial small subunit ribosomal RNA
Source: RNAcentral
UACGAAGGGGGCUAGCGUUGCUCGGAAUCACUGGGCGUAAAGGGUGCGUAGGCGGGUCUUUAAGUCAGGGGUGAAAUCCUGGAGCUCAACUCCAGAACUGCCUUUGAUACUGAGGAUCUUGAGUUCGGGAGAGGUGAGUGGAACUGCGAGUGUAGAGGUGAAAUUCGUAGAUAUUCGCAAGAACACCAGUGGCGAAGGCGGCCCACUGGCCCGAUACUGACGCUGAGGCACGAAAUCGUGGGGAGCAAACAGG